AGCUUCUUAGCGCAGUAGGUAGCGCGUUGGGCUCAUACACCCCCUAUGAAUCCUUUCCACUCUCGAGUGGUGAAACCCAAAGGUCGUCGGAUCGAAACCGACAGAAGCUA
This 110-nucleotide transfer RNA is filed under the name Mycosarcoma maydis (corn smut). Its description in RNAcentral is "tRNA-Met for anticodon CAU". It matches the Rfam family "tRNA". Rfam says of the family: Transfer RNA (tRNA) molecules are approximately 80 nucleotides in length. Their secondary structure includes four short double-helical elements and three loops (D, anti-codon, and T loops). Further hydrogen bonds mediate the characteristic L-shaped molecular structure. tRNAs have two regions of fundamental functional importance: the anti-codon, which is responsible for specific mRNA codon recognition, and the 3' end, to which the tRNAs corresponding amino acid is attached (by aminoacyl-tRNA synthetases). tRNAs cope with the degeneracy of the genetic code in two manners: having more than one tRNA (with a specific anti-codon) for a particular amino acid; and 'wobble' base-pairing, i.e. permitting non-standard base-pairing at the 3rd anti-codon position. The record is from RNAcentral. Lineage: Eukaryota; Fungi; Basidiomycota; Ustilaginomycetes; Ustilaginales.